AGGGCUUGGCGCAGCUGUGAACAGAGCCCGUCGUGUUCACAGUGGCUAAGUUCCGC
RNAcentral lists this microRNA precursor (56 nucleotides) under Gallus gallus (chicken). RNAcentral's name for it is "Gga-Mir-27-P3_pre stem-loop". Lineage: Eukaryota; Metazoa; Chordata; Aves; Galliformes; Phasianidae. The record is from RNAcentral.